AUGCGCCAAGCUCGGAAUCAAGCUCUUGUUCUCAUCCGCAUACCAUCCUCAAACCGACGGCCAAACAGAGGUGACGAACCGGACAAUCCCACUGUACUUUGCGUGUUGAUCAAGAAGAACAUCAAGGAGUGGGAAGCAUGUCUGCCCAUCGCCGAGUACGCCUACAACCGUGCAAGACAUUCGACUACCGGCAAGUCGCCGUUCAAGGUCGUCUACGGCUUCAACCCGUUGUCACCAUUGGACAUUCUACCUCUUCCUCUACAAGAGCGCACCAACAUGGAUGCAAGUGCACGGGCAAGCUACAUCAAGAAGAUGCAUGAGGAUACAAGGCACACCAUCGAGCGCCAAGUACAACGACUAGCGACCAAGCUCAACGUCAACAAGCAACCCAUGAUCUUCAACAUUGGCGAUCUUGUGUGGCUACACCUUCGCAAGGACCGCUUCCCCAACGAACGCAAGUCCAAACUUCCCCCUCGAGCCGAUGGGCCCUUCAAGGUGCUAGCACGCUUCAACGACAAUGCCUACAAGAUAGACCUCCCAUGA
RNAcentral lists this ribosomal RNA (543 nucleotides) under Triticum aestivum (bread wheat). RNAcentral describes it as "partial small subunit ribosomal RNA". Lineage: Eukaryota; Viridiplantae; Streptophyta; Magnoliopsida; Poales; Poaceae. The record is from RNAcentral.